RNAcentral lists this ribosomal RNA (253 nucleotides) under uncultured bacterium. Its description in RNAcentral is "partial 16S ribosomal RNA". It matches the Rfam family "Bacterial small subunit ribosomal RNA", at positions 524 to 776 of the family's 1533-position model. The record is from RNAcentral.
UACGGAGGGUGCGAGCGUUGUUCGGAAUUACUGGGCGUAAAGCGCGUGCAGGCGGUCGAUUAAGUCCGGUGUGAAAGCCCGGGGCUCACCCCCGGAAGUGCGCUGGAAACUAAUCAACUAGAGUACGGGAGAGGGAAGUGGAAUUCCUGGUGUAGCGGUGAAAUGCGUAGAUAUCAGGAGGAACACCGGCGGCGAAGGCGGCUUCCUGGACCGAUACUGACGCUGAGACGCGAAAGCGUGGGGAGCGAACAGG